Molecule: ribosomal RNA, 1785 nt
Filed under: Triticum aestivum (bread wheat)
Lineage: Eukaryota; Viridiplantae; Streptophyta; Magnoliopsida; Poales; Poaceae
Description: partial small subunit ribosomal RNA
Source: RNAcentral
AUGGCCGAGGACGGGAGGGAGCGGGCGGAGGACGCCACGGGGACGGCGAAGAAGGCCAAGCAGGGCGGCUUCAGGACCAUGCCCUUCAUCCUAGCGAACGACUUCUGCGACCGGCUGGCGACGGUGGGGUUCGGCUCGAACCUGAUCUCGUACCUCACCCUGCAGCUGCACCUGCCGCUGGUGGAGGCCUCCAACGUGCUCACGAACUACCACGGCACCACCAACCUCACGCCGCUCGUCGGCGGCCUCAUCGCCGACUCCUUCGCCGGCCGCUUCUGGACCAUCACCGUCGGCUCCAUCAUCUACCAGCUCGGCAUGGUCUGCCUCACCCUCUCCGCCGCGCUCCCCUCGCUCCGCCCGCCGCCCUGCGCCAAGCACGCCGCCGAGUGCCAGCGCGCCUCCACCUACCAGAUCGCCAUCCUCUACCUGUCGCUGCUCUGCACGUCCAUCGGCGCCGGGGGCUCGCGGCCCUGCAACAUGGCGUUCGGCGCCGACCAGCUCGAGCUGGGCGCGCGCCGGCGCCGGAGCGCCAACGGCGGCAAGGCCCCCAUGUGGAGCUUCUUCAACCUGUACUUCUUCGGCAUCGAGCUCGCCAAGCUCACGGCGGUCACCGUGGUGGUGUACAUCCAGGAGAACGUCGGGUGGGGGUGGGGGCUCGGCGUGCCCACCAUCGCCAUGUUCGUCGCCGUGAUCGGCUUCGUGUCCGGGUACUCGCUAUAUGUCAGGAUGCCCCCCGGCGGCAGCCCGCUUGUCCGGCUGGCACAGGUCGUGGCUGCUGCGUUUAAGAAGAGGAAAGCAGUCGUGCCGGACCCGGACCUCCUGUACGAGGACAAGAAGCUCGACGCCGGCAUCUCCACCACCGGCCGUCUUCUCCACACCAACCAGCUAAAGUUCUUUGACAAGGCGGCCAUAGUGACGGAGGGCGACGUUCUGCCGUCCGGCGAGCCGAAGCUGUGGCGGCUGUCGACGGUGCACCGGGUGGAGGAGAUCAAGUCGAUCGUCCGCAUGCUGCCCAUCUGGGCGGCGGGCAUCCUCAUGGUGACCGCGUCGUCGCACAACAGCAGCUUCGCGAUCCAGCAGGCGCGCACCAUGGACCGCGACAUCACGCGGAGCUUCAAGAUCCCGCCGGCCUCCAUGCUCAUCUUCACCAACCUCGCCAUGCUGGUCACCCUCGCCUUCUACGACCGGGUGCUCGUCCGCGUGCUCCGCCGCUUCACCGGCCGCCCCAACGGCAUCACCCACCUCCAGCGCGCCGGCGUCGGCAUGACCAUCGCCAUGCUGGCGAACGUGGCCGCGGCAGCCGUCGAGACCAGGCGGAAGUCAGUGGCCGCCGCCAGCGGCAUGCUGGACGCGCCCAAAGGCGCCACCCUGCCCAUCAGCGUCUUCUGGCUGGUGCCGCAGUACGCCAUCCACGGCAUCGCCGACGCAUUCAUGGACGUCGGCCGCAUGGAGUUUCUGUACGACCAGGCGCCGGAGAGCAUGAGGAGCACCGCGGCGGCGCUCUACUGGCUCACCAUCUCGGCGGGGAGCUACCUCGGCACGCUGCUGGUGACCAUCGUGCACGAGAAAACGCAGGCCAGCGGGCAGUGGCUGCAGGACAACCUCAACAGAGGGAAGCUGGAUAACUACUACUGGCUCGUCGUCGGGCUGCAGGGGCUCAACCUCGUCUACUACUUCGUAUGUGUCAAGUACUACACUUUUAAGCCAUUGGAGACGGAGGUCGAGCACCAACCUGGCCAUGGAAAUGGCACCCAGAGCACCAAGAAGGGUGUAAGCUACAAGUAA